AGAGAGAGACGAUGGUUAGGUCGCUGAUUUUCUCUGGCAUUGUCUCCCGUGUAUCGGGAUUAGGUUCCGACAUCUAGUGGCUCCGAUAGCAUCAUUGACUAGUCGGCUUUUGGCUCCGACGACGCGCCUUCUUCAGAUCUCGUCACUGUGGCUUUUUGAGCGGUGUGUUUUGUUUCCGGUUUGGUUCCGGUGGAUUUCCGAUUAAAGCUUCGUCGGCGACAUGCAUGCCGGUGAAAUAUGGUGGCAAUUCAACUUUAGGGCGUGUGUCCUCUUCUCGCUAAGAGUCUAACGUGUGGAGAAGCUUGAAUGGACCGUCCAUCUCUCCUUAGGCUUUGUCUUUUUGGCUGAGCUCGUUUUUGAGCAUUUUGUUGUUUUUAAUUUCUGGGUCGUUUUGGCCUCACAUGUACUUAUUUUUGUCUAUGUUUAUUUAAUAAUACUAGAUGACAAAAAAAAAAAAAAAGACUAAACGGGGGUCUAGCGACUCUAGUCUAAAGAGACUUGACAUUAAUAAUAAAAAGCGUAGAAAAAGUAUAAAACAUUUAGUCUUUCUUCAUCUACUGGUUUCAUGACGAAUCGAAAGUCAACGAAUACAUAAAGUUUUAUCAUGGAUUCUAGUAUUCUACUACAUCAUGGACUCUAUAUAUUACACCAUCACCAUGCUGCUCUCUACAGGCGCUAUCAUAGCCUGAAGAGUUUAAACAGUCCACAAGAAGCAAACCUAUAAAACCAUACGGGCUUUUACCAAGUCUAACAAGUCACUACACAUCAAGACCCUUGCAGAUACCCUUUCGCUUCUUAUCCCACGCAAUUUUGUCAAGUAACAAAACUUAAAUUAUCGCAAGUAUGGUGAAUAUCUUUUGAGUGUGUAAGCUAACCUUAUACCUCUUAAUUAAUCCCACUGGUUUGGUUUUUGCACUAUCUUCAAAUUAACUGGUAAUUUGACAAAC
This is a long non-coding RNA of Brassica rapa (field mustard), 947 nucleotides long. RefSeq lists it as uncharacterized. The record is from RefSeq and is a predicted model, not a curated record. Lineage: Eukaryota; Viridiplantae; Streptophyta; Magnoliopsida; Brassicales; Brassicaceae.